UUUUGGAACAUUUGAAAACUGAGGUGUAGAACUCUUUAUUUACCCGCGAACAUGGUCAAUAACAUGUAAAUUACUUUCAACGGUAGACGAGCCAUGACAAAUCUAGAGGGAUUAGCGAAUUUACUUUUGGCGCCAAACUUUCGCCGAGAAACAAUAGUCCGGUAACAUUGGUUUACAUUAGAAAGAGCUGAAAAGCUUGACUCUCACGUGAAGGUCACUGAUGUUGUAACAAGUGUCACUAUGAACUCGAUCAGAAAACAAAUUGCUUCAAACUAGCCUGGAGGCAGGUAGCAGUGAUAUACGCAGAGAACUCCAACAGAGAACCGAGGUGUCAGAAAAGUGCUUGGUAUAAGCAGAUAUUCCAACACAUCUAAAAUGCUCACAGAAGGAAACAAACGCAACUCUGGAGACGAAUCCUCUGGAAGUGAUAUGCAAGUUGAACAAACAUCAACGAGAGAAGUUGGAAGAUUACUUGCUAACAUUGGAGACAAUUUGAAUCAAGCAGUGCGAGCUCAAAGGAGUGAAAACAGGGAGCCAGUUAUUCAGGUUUUUCAGCUGGCAAAUUUUGGAGGCGUCAACAUGUCCUUUCUCAUACCAAUACACGAUUCAUUUCAGUACGUGACAGAUGUUUCACUGCUUGUGUUUAUAAUUAGUUUUUACACCAGUAGGAGGUUCGUCCGAGUACGAGAUUCUUAGAAAGAAACGUGACAACAGAGUUACAUUGAUAAUAUAAAACUCCAGUUAGUAACGCUUGGAUAACUAUUAAAAGAGAGCCCAGUUUUUGUCGAACUUAUGAAAAUAGAAUUGAUUUUCAUUCUACUUGACGUCUGAAAAACGGUUCUGCCUGUUGAAACGAGAAUCAACUAGAACUCAUCUCGUACCGACAUUACUCGUACUGGUGUAAAGCAUUCGCAGUGAGACCGCUCUGAGCCGUGAAGAAAUUAUACUACAGCCCAGAAGCACUGAGGUGAAUACCGCUGGUUUUAUAUUAUUCUACCACCUUUUACACUUAUGCGUGAGAAAAUUUAUGUUUUGUGGAUGAAGUGAACCACGAAAAUCGAGAAGGAAUUUAUUUCAAGACAUCUGGCAAGGAAGCCCUUUGAACAAACUCUACCACGACUUAAUCGCAAGAAAUGGCGGUGAACUGAUUUUUACGAAGAAGUCGAGGGAAAAGUUUACUGCUGAGGAAGUGACUGAUUCACAAGAUGUUGAUAAGAUGAGGAAAAUCCAGAGGAACCGUCAUGCUAAAUAAUUUAUUUAUUUCACAGAUGUAAAUUAUUAUGAUAGAGACGAUACUGGACUAAUUAGCUUAAAAAUAAUGUUAACUUACAUACGGAGUGACUUUGUAGAUAUUUAAUUUUACGAUCUAGCUGACAAUUAGCAAAAAAAAAAAAAAAAAAAAAGAAAAAAAGAGGAAGCGAGCUUAUUGCUUAUGUUUUGUACCAAGAAGGGGAAAAUGUUCUUUGUGGCGAAAAAAGUGAUUGUUCAUACUGUAAAAAACAAAACAUGCUAAAAUUAGCC
Molecule: long non-coding RNA, 1521 nt
Organism: Stylophora pistillata
Lineage: Eukaryota; Metazoa; Cnidaria; Anthozoa; Scleractinia; Pocilloporidae
Source: RefSeq, a predicted model, not a curated record